RNAcentral lists this ribosomal RNA (460 nucleotides) under uncultured bacterium. Its description in RNAcentral is "partial 16S ribosomal RNA". It matches the Rfam family "Bacterial small subunit ribosomal RNA", at positions 338 to 795 of the family's 1533-position model. The record is from RNAcentral.
CCUACGGGAGGCAGCAGUGAGGAAUAUUGGUCAAUGGGCUUACGCCUGAACCAGCCAAGUCGCGUGAGGGAAGACUGCCCUAUGGGUUGUAAACCUCUUUUGUCAGGGAGCAACGCCGGCUACGUGUAGCCGGACUGAGAGUACCUGAAGAAAAAGCAUCGGCUAACUCCGUGCCAGCAGCCGCGGUAAUACGGAGGAUGCGAGCGUUAUCCGGAUUUAUUGGGUUUAAAGGGUGCGCAGGCGGGAGAUCAAGUCAGCGGUAAAAUGUCGGGGCUCAACCCCGGCCGGCCGUUGAAACUGGUGUGCUAGAGUUGGAGAGAAGUAUGCGGAAUUCGUGGUGUAGCGGUGAAAUGCAUAGAUAACACGAAGAACCCGGAUUGCGAAGGCAGUAUACCGGCUCCAUACUGCCGCUGGGGCACGAAAGCGUGGGGAUGGAACAGGAUUAGAUACCUUUGGAGUC